GAGUGUUCCCCAUCAGAGACAGUUACGAACGCAUUUAAGGAAGUUAAAUCGGGACAUUUGCUUACCGAUAUCUGGCGGCUCUUGUAAAUUCAGACUGGCCAAACGGCAGAAUUUGGAAGCAUCAGGUGUUACUAUUUGAGGAAGACGUAAAAAGCACGCAGGCACAAUGGCGCGGUCGCCGUCCGCCGGCCGCGCGGGCGUCCCGCGUAAAUAACAAGGUAAUUUAUGAUCGUUACACAAUGAUCGUCAUAAAUCGCAUUGCUGCUGGUCGACAGAAUGUGCCGUUAUGCGAGGUACUCCGCAUCCGCCGUCAGCGUCGAGGCCUCCCCUUCCACACCCCCGUCGCGACGCCGAUAUUUUACUGCGGGGACGCGAUGCACGGCCGACAUAAUUUAUCUGUUUUCAAAUAUACCGCGCACGCCGAUAGAUUUACAUAUUUUAAUAUAAAUUCCUAAAUUCCGACCAUCCCCCGUUCCCCCGUACAGACGGCACUACGAAGGACGAGUACGUCUUUAUCGAUCAUCGCCGCCCCGUACCUCCGCGUCGUCCUCCCGCUUUACGUCUCGUUCCUUACUCCCGUCUUUCCCUAAUGUAGCACAGCUAAGAGCACGUAAAAGCGAAGAAUAUAACGGAUUCUUUGCAUGGUUGCGUUAUUAAUUGCAUCAUAGUAAGCAAGAUAAAAGCGCGCAACCAUCAUUAUUCAAACACAGUCUGCAACUUAUUUUCUGGCGUCUUGAAAACAAGAGUUUCAUUAGUUAAUGUGACAAAAUAACGAUCUUAUCAGUCUCCAUCUAUCUUUAUCGAUCAAAUAAUGUUCAAGCUCUUAUAAACAUGAAAUAUCAAAUGCCGCUUAUGAAUGUGUGACUACGUGAAAAUUCAUAGAGAAUGCGAUAUUAAAACAAUUUCAACAUUGUGAGAGUUUAAGACGCCGUGGCGUUUGAUGUAAGCGAUAAAAAGAAUUCGAACGCCGCCGAUAUAAUAACAAACGAUACCGGCCAGCGCGGCAUAGCUUUGUUCGAAUAUCAGACGAGUCGCCGAAUUGGCGACGGAUUGUAAUUCCGUCGUUUUUAUAAAGAAACCGAGCGUAUUAGUUAGUCUCUCUUCGACCGAGCUACGAUUCACACUGUAUGAAAUACAGUAUCUUUAUAUCCCAAAACCGUGUCUUACUCAACCAUCCUACAACAUGUUGGAUUAUACUACGCAGCCUCUCGGAAUGUAUUCUACUCACCACCGUAAUGAAUCUAAUUUCAUCAACGUAAUAUAUCUUAUUGCACCAUCGUGAGAAAAGCAAGAACGCGAUCCCGUACAGUAUCUUGCGCAACCCUCGCGAUGUGCGGUAAAUCCGAUCUGGUACUUUCAUCGCAGCGCAGCGAGUAGCGAGAUUUAAUCGCGGGACUGGAAUUCGAAGCUGUGCACUUAGAUUUUCAGACGGGGUGCAUCCGACGCCAUGAGCCGGCAGAAUCAAUUCUCGUCGCGCACACCGAUAACACGACGCGUCCCGCGUCCUGCUUCCCUCGCCUGUUCGAAGCGCGACGGAACUUGUUUGACACCUUAACUACCACUUGCACUCCCGAAUAUCUCUGCCUGUUUGACAGUCAACGAGAUCGACACAAUGCGAGUCGCUAUCGUCGACGGAAGUUUGCGUUUAGAAGCGUACACGCGCGCAUACGCGCGCACGCACGGCACGAUAUGUGCAACACAUUGAGGAAAUACGCGCUUCGAUCAUUCGCAUAAAUGCUAAAUAAUGUAAUGACAAUACUGUAUUUGUCACGCGUCAAGUAGGAUAUACCACGCUUACGAGCAACCGUCUCCUCGAAAUGAAGCGUUUUGUUUGGAUGCAAUGUAUCGAUAACGACGUCGCGAUAUGCAGAAUUUGUCGCGCGAUGAAUUUCCGGCGUGUCUUUCCGAAGAGACACACGCAAGGGCGAGACAUCGCGCGGGAUAAGCGCGGCGACAUCCCCAUCAGCAGGACGUUACCUCCUGACAGCAACAUAUUGGCCAUAAAUUUCGGAUAUGCGCUUUUGCGUCAUACGCGAAACGUCUCCGGCUUUUGCGUGUCCUGAUGAAAUAAAAAUGGACACGCGUAAAUCUAUCUCGAAUCUUACUAGUUUGCUCAUUUUUAUUGCGAAUUGUUUAACCGCGCUGUCAUUUAUUGAAAUAUACGUGUAUAUAUAUAUUAAAAGAAAUAGUUCCAGUAAAACUAUGUUAAACGGAGCGUAUCACGAGCACGAGAAUAUAU
This 2239-nucleotide long non-coding RNA is filed under the name Ooceraea biroi (clonal raider ant). RNAcentral describes it as "uncharacterized LOC113561648". Lineage: Eukaryota; Metazoa; Arthropoda; Insecta; Hymenoptera; Formicidae. The record is from RNAcentral.